CCACUGGUUGUCACUGUCACUGUCCCUGGGGUAAGGGCAGGGCCUCUAUGGUUCCAGAAAAGGGCCUGGCACAUAGUAGACUGUUACAAAUAAAAGGUCCUGUCAUUUAAUCUUCCUGAGACUUGCUAGUUGUAUUUUGACCCCUGCUUUAAAAUGAGAAUGAGGAUCAGAGAGGAAGAGCGAUUCAUCCUAGGUCACAGAGCUGCAUGUGGGCCCACUGAGAGGCAGGGCCUAGGCACUAUCCACUGGGAUUGGUCUCCUUCUGUUGGGCUGGAAGUGAUGCAAGGAGGAUGGAGAUUAGGGAGAGAAGGGCAACAGAAAGGGAAGAGGAGAGGGAGAAAACAGAAAAGAGGAAGGGCCUUCAGGAUGGAGGAAGGGCAAGAGGAUCCUGGCUAAAGGUCUGUUCUGGCCUCAUCCUGUAGGAAUCUCAGCCUCUCCCCUAAACCAGAACAGACUCACAGAGUGACCCAGUGGAAGGGGCCUCAGAAGACAUCCAGUUGAGUCUCUUCCUUCACUGAACAGAUGAGGAAACUGAGGCUCAAAGGGAAAUGUCCCCAUGGCAGUUUGGAAACGCGAGUCCAUUUACACUCAAAUGUGUCCCCUGCCCCCCCACCCAUGGACAUGUUUAGCUUUGGUGGGAGGAUUUGAGCUGGGAAGUGAAUGAGGCAGCCAGAGAAGAUUGGGGUGGAGGGGGUGGUGUGAAAUUGAAACAGCAACAAAAGGUCCGGUUCUCAGAAAAUGGGAUUUAGGUGUGGUUCCCAGAAGAUUGUGUUAGACCCAAAGGGCCACUGAGGAAGACUGCGGACUUCCUUCUUUGCAGGGGGUGUCUGGCUGAGGCAGCCUGGUGAUGGGCACGCCAGAAGACUCCUGGUUCCAUCCAGGCCCAAGGACCACGGAACUGGAGCGGUCUCCUCCGUCACCCAGCAAGCCUGUUCUUUAAAGUGGAGGAGAACAAGCUGAGACGGGCCAUCAUCCAGUAAACUGCCCCAUAGACUGAAUAAACUCCUUUGUACUGUAA
Macaca mulatta (Rhesus monkey) is the source of this 1018-nucleotide non-coding RNA. Lineage: Eukaryota; Metazoa; Chordata; Mammalia; Primates; Cercopithecidae. The record is from RefSeq and is a predicted model, not a curated record.